GGAGUAUGGACCGUGUCUCAGUUCCAUUGUGGCCGUUCAUCCUCUCAGACCGGCUACCGAUCGUCGGCUUGGUGCACCUUUACUACACCAACUACCUAAUCGGACGCAGGCUCCUCGCAAAGCGAUAAAUCUUUAGUAAAACUCCCAUGCGAGAAUCUUACAACAUCCGGUAUUAGCGUCCCUUUCGGGACGUUGUCCCCGACUUUGCGGCAGAUUACCUGCGCUUUACUCACCCGUUCGCCACUAAACCCGAAGGUUCCGUUCGACUUGCAUGUGUUAAGCCUGUAGCUAGCGUUCAUC
This 300-nucleotide ribosomal RNA is filed under the name uncultured Veillonellaceae bacterium. RNAcentral's name for it is "partial 16S ribosomal RNA". The record is from RNAcentral. Lineage: Bacteria; Bacillati; Bacillota; Negativicutes; Veillonellales; Veillonellaceae.